GCUAGCUAGUGGCUGAGUACACAUCCCUGCUGAAACGAACAGAUACCUUCUAAUAAUUCAGCCUGUCCGAGGUGUAUUUCAACUUUUGCAUUAUACUACCUAGAGUGAAACUCACUCAUCCUAAUAGCCAAAUAAGAAGACUGUUGCCUUUUUGUUAUUUACCAUAUACAAGAUAUUGACGUAACUACCUGGACUGCAGCUGUGACUGUGAUUGAGCGUCACCUAGUGGUGAAAAGACUAAACUACAAGUUGUAGAUCACAUGGGAAGAUCCUUCACUAUGAAGGACUGUGGCAUUAUAUGCAUCUUUCUUACAAAGUAUGUCACCAUUUACAUUCAGGUGUAUCGUUCGGUAUCUGUAGUAUUUAGGA
Molecule: long non-coding RNA, 369 nt
Organism: Sander lucioperca (pikeperch)
Lineage: Eukaryota; Metazoa; Chordata; Actinopteri; Perciformes; Percidae
Exons: 2
Source: RefSeq, a predicted model, not a curated record